AACCGAGGGUAACCCUGGGAACGAGGGUUUACCCGUUAAACCGAAAAACCCCCGUGUUUUCUUUUAAAAAAGGGCUUCGCUUCCUUUUCNGGAAUGGCCCCGGGGCCAUUAGCUAGUUUGUGAGGUAACGGCUUCCCCAAGGCCGAUGAUCGGUACCCGACCUUGAAAGGGUAAUCGGCCACAUUGGGACUGAGACCCGGCCCCAGACUCCUACGGGAAGCAGCAGUAGGGAAUCUUCCCACAAUUGGGCGCAAGUCUGAUGGAGCAACCCCGCGUGAGUGAAGAAGGGUUUCGGCUCGUAAAGCUCUGUUGUUAAAGAAGAACGUGGGUGAGAGUAACUGUUCACCCAGUGACGGUAUUUAACCAGAAAGCCACGGCUAACUACGUGCCAGCAGCCGCGGUAAUACGUAGGUGGCAAGCGUUAUCCGGAUUUAUUGGGCGUAAAGCGAGCGCAGGCGGUCUUUUAAGUCUAAUGUGAAAGCCUUCGGCUCAACCGAAGAAGUGCAUUGGAAACUGGGAGACUUGAGUGCAGAAGAGGACAGUGGAACUCCAUGUGUAGCGGUGAAAUGCGUAGAUAUAUGGAAGAACACCAGUGGCGAAGGCGGCUGUCUGGUCUGUAACUGACGCUGAGGCUCGAAAGCAUGGGUAGCGAACAGGAUUAGAUACCCUGGUAGUCCAUGCCGUAAACGAUGAUUACUAAGUGUUGGAGGGUUUCCGCCCUUCAGUGCUGCAGCUAACGCAUUAAGUAAUCCGCCUGGGGAGUACGACCGCAAGGUUGAAACUCAAAAGAAUUGACGGGGGCCCGCACAAGCGGUGGAGCAUGUGGUUUAAUUCGAAGCUACGCGAAGAACCUUACCAGGUCUUGACAUCUUCUGCCAACCUAAGAGAUUAGGCGUUCCCUUCGGGGACAGAAUGACAGGUGGUGCAUGGUUGUCGUCAGCUCGUGUCGUGAGAUGUUGGGUUAAGUCCCGCAACGAGCGCAACCCUUAUUACUAGUUGCCAGCAUUCAGUUGGGCACUCUAGUGAGACUGCCGGUGACAAACCGGAGGAAGGUGGGGACGACGUCAAAUCAUCAUGCCCCUUAUGACCUGGGCUACACACGUGCUACAAUGGAUGGUACAACGAGUCGCGAAACCGCGAGGUUUAGCUAAUCUCUUAAAACCAUUCUCAGUUCGGACUGUAGGCUGCAACUCGCCUACACGAAGUCGGAAUCGCUAGUAAUCGCGGAUCAGCAUGCCGCGGUGAAUACGUUCCCGGGCCUUGUACACACCGCCCGUCACACCAUGAGAGUUUGUAACACCCAAAGCCGGUGGGGUAACCUUUAGAGCUAGCCGUCUAAG
This 1340-nucleotide ribosomal RNA is filed under the name Pediococcus acidilactici. RNAcentral describes it as "bacterial SSU rRNA". It matches the Rfam family "Bacterial small subunit ribosomal RNA", at positions 135 to 1461 of the family's 1533-position model. The record is from RNAcentral. Lineage: Bacteria; Bacillati; Bacillota; Bacilli; Lactobacillales; Lactobacillaceae.